GGAGGCGAACCGGGGGAACUGAAACAUCUAAGUACCCCGAGGAAAAGAAAUCAACCGAGAUUCCCCAAGUAGCGGCGAGCGAACGGGGACCAGCCCUUAAGCUGGUGACUGGUUAGGCGAACGAGCUGGGAAGCUCGACCAUAGUGGGUGAUAGUCCCGUAGCCGAAAACCUGAUCCAGUGAAAUCGAGUAGGUCGGGGCACGUGAAACCUUGACUGAAGACGGGGGGACCAUCCUCCAAGGCUAAAUACUCCUGGCUGACCGAUAGUGAACCAGUACCGUGAGGGAAAGGCGAAAAGAACCCCGGAGAGGGGAGUGAAAUAGAUCCUGAAACCGUAUGCGUACAAGCAGUGGGAGCAGACUCGUUCUGUGACCGCGUACCUUUUGUAUAAUGGGUCAGCGACUUAUAUUCAGUGGCGAGCUUAACCGUAUAGGGGAGGCGUAGGGAAACCGAGUCUUAACUGGGCGACCAGUCGCUGGAUAUAGACCCGAAACCGGGCGAUCUAUCCAUGAGCAGGUUGAAGGUUGAGUAACAUCAACUGGAGGACCGAACCAGGAUCUGUUGAAAAAGAUUUGGAUGACUUGUGGAUCGGAGUGAAAGGCUAAUCAAGCCCGGAGAUAGCUGGUUCUCCUCGAAAGCUAUUUAGGUAGCGCCUCACGUAUCACCGCCGGGGGUAGAGCACUGUUUCGGCUAGGGGGCCAUCCCGGCUUACCAACCCGAGGCAAACUCCGAAUACCGGUGAGUGCAGCGUGGGAGACACACGGCGGGUGCUAACGUCCGUCGUGAAAAGGGAAACAACCCAGACCGUCAGCUAAGGCCCCAAAAUCCUGGUUAAGUGGGAAACGAUGUGGGAAGGCUCAGACAGCUAGGAGGUUGGCUUAGAAGCAGCCAUCCUUUAAAGAAAGCGUAAUAGCUCACUAGUCGAGUCGGCCUGCGCGGAAGAUGUAACGGGGCUCAAACCAGGUGCCGAAGCUACGGGUUCGUCGAAUGACGAGCGGUAGAGGAGCGUCGUGUAAGCCAAUGAAGGUGAGUUGAGAAGCUCGCUGGAGGUAUCACGAGUGCGAAUGCUGACAUGAGUAACGAUAAGGGGAGUGAAAAACUCCCCCGCCGGAAGACCAAGGGUUUCUGUUCGACGCUAAUCGGAGCAGAGUGAGUCGGCCCCUAAGGCGAGGCCGAAAGGCGUAGUCGAUGGGAAACGGGUCAAUAUUCCCGUACCUCACAGAAUUGCGAUGGGGGGACGAAGAAGGCUAGGUGAGCCAGGCGUUGGUUGUCCUGGUGAAAGUCGGUAGGCCGAGAUCUUAGGCAAAUCCGGGAUCUCAAGGCCGAGAGACGAGACGAACAGACUACGGUCUGGAAGUCAUUGAUGCCACGCUUCCAGGAAAAGCCUCUAAGCUUCAGAUUCUGUGAGACCGUACCCCAAACCGACACAGGUGGUCAGGUAGAGAAUACCAAGGCGCUUGAGAGAACUCGGGUGAAGGAACUAGGCAAAAUGGUGCCGUAACUUCGGGAGAAGGCACGCCGGCGUAGUGUGAACACCCCGCGGUGGAAGCACGAACCGGUCGAAGAUACCAGGUGGCUGCAACUGUUUAUUAAAAACACAGCACUCUGCAAACGCGCAAGCGGACGUAUAGGGUGUGACGCCUGCCCGGUGCCGGAAGGUUAAUUGAUGGUGUUAGGCUCCGGCCGAAGCUCCUGAUCGAAGCCCCGGUAAACGGCGGCCGUAACUAUAACGGUCCUAAGGUAGCGAAAUUCCUUGUCGGGUAAGUUCCGACCUGCACGAAUGGCGUAAUGAUGGCCACACUGUCUCCACCCGAGACUCAGUGAAAUUGAAAUCGCAGUGAAGAUGCUGUGUACCCGCGGCUAGACGGAAAGACCCCGUGAACCUUUACUAUAGCUUCACACUGGACGCUGAUGUUGCUUGUGUAGGAUAGCUGGGAGGCUUGGAAACCCGGACGCCAGUUCGGGUGGAGCCAACCUUGAAAUACCAGCCUGGCAUCAUUGGCGUUCUAACUCAGCCCCGUUAUCCGGGGCGAGGACAGUGUGUGGUGGGUAGUUUGACUGGGGCGGUCUCCUCCCAAAGAGUAACGGAGGAGCACGAAGGUACCCUCAGCACGGUCGGAAAUCGUGCA
This 2129-nucleotide ribosomal RNA is filed under the name Halomonas sp. 328. RNAcentral's name for it is "partial 23S ribosomal RNA". It matches the Rfam family "Bacterial large subunit ribosomal RNA", at positions 175 to 2344 of the family's 2925-position model. The record is from RNAcentral. Lineage: Bacteria; Pseudomonadati; Pseudomonadota; Gammaproteobacteria; Oceanospirillales; Halomonadaceae.